GAGUGAGGGAGGGAAGGGGUGACUAGUGACAGAGUGAGGGAUGUGGUGAUUAGUGACAGAGGGAGGGAUGGGGUGACUAGUGACAGUCACCACCUCCUUCACUCUGUCACUAGUCACCCCCUUCCUCACUCUGUCAC
Non-coding RNA from Pelobates cultripes (western spadefoot toad), 137 nucleotides. The record is from the annotation of a GenBank genome assembly. NCBI's taxonomy places the organism in Eukaryota, Metazoa, Chordata, Amphibia, Anura, Pelobatidae.